Onychostruthus taczanowskii (white-rumped snowfinch) is the source of this 635-nucleotide long non-coding RNA. RefSeq lists it as uncharacterized. The record is from RefSeq and is a predicted model, not a curated record. NCBI's taxonomy places the organism in Eukaryota, Metazoa, Chordata, Aves, Passeriformes, Passeridae. The transcript is spliced from 2 exons.
UACAGCCUCCAACAACGAGUGUGUGGAUGUUACAGGAUUUGUUUUUGGUUUUUUUUUUAAUGGUAUUACCACGUCUGAUCACACCAAUAUAUGAUUUUAAUUAAGCGAAUGGCGGGCGAGCUGUCGUGGGGAGCAGGCAAGCAGCGAUGGCUUCUUCCCAUACCACUACGGCUCCGAUGAUAAAUCAAUCCUCGUGCGUUUGGGACUUUUUUUAUUUUUGUAGUUGUUUUUUUUUUUUUUUUUCUUUAAGUACUUUUGGGGAUUUUCCAUGCCGUGAAGAGACCGGGAGAUGGCGGCUUCAACCCCUGCGAAGGAGAAAAGCGGUGGAAAAGCAAAGAAUUAGGCAUAAAACUACCCACCUUGGGGGCUGUGUCAAAGGAACGUGCGGAAAAUAGGUCUGAAUGCUCUGUGGGGAAGAACAACACUGCAGGGAGCUGGCUGGGAUGUGACUGCUGUUAACCUGGGAUCCAAAAGAAAAAAAAACAACAGUUUUCCUGCAGCUCUUUCUAUCUUAUUUCAGAAAUCCAUCACCAGCACCCAGCCUUGCUCCCAGCACCUUUUUGAGCCCCUUUGUCAUCCCAGUUUCCUUGCACCACACUACAAAUCUUCCAUUUCCAAAUAAACCUGCAAAAAGG